GUCCCUGGGGAUGGUCACUGAUCAUGUGCUCACCAUAAAGCAAGAUACUUGGGCUAUAGGUGAUCAUUUCCUUUGCAGUAUAAGCUCCAGGUCUCCAUUUGAUGACUCCAGUGCCUAAGCAGCCAUGGAAAACUACUACAGUGCUAAAUGAACAGAAAAAGCCCACCCUCCAAGGCAUCAAGGAGAAUUCAAUUACAGCAGGGACUGCCGAGACC
Molecule: long non-coding RNA, 215 nt
Organism: Symphalangus syndactylus (siamang)
Lineage: Eukaryota; Metazoa; Chordata; Mammalia; Primates; Hylobatidae
Source: RefSeq, a predicted model, not a curated record